AAAAAGAUAAGCUAAAUUCAAGCUAAUGGGUUCAUACCCCAUAUAUAGAAAACACUUCUUCUUUUUA
Molecule: transfer RNA, 67 nt
Filed under: Phryganogryllacris xiai
Lineage: Eukaryota; Metazoa; Arthropoda; Insecta; Orthoptera; Gryllacrididae
Description: tRNA-Met
Source: RNAcentral